GUGGUCUUUGAAGCAGCCGCCCUAUAAAGGGGAGGAAAGUCCGGACUCCACAGGGCAGGAAGCUGCCGAAAGGCAGGCAGGGGUAACCCUGCGGAAAGGGCCACAGAAAGCAGACUGCCUGUCCCGAUAAGCUGUAAGUAGGUGGAAACACCGAAGGGCUUAUCCGGGCAGGUAAAGGUGAAAGGGUGGGGUAAGAGCCCACCAGUACCGUCGGUGACGGCGGUAGCUGGCAACCCCCUUCCGGAGCAAUCCCAAAUAGGUGGAGGUUAGAGGGUUGCCCGCCCGAAAGCCUGAAAAGGCUUACCUCCACGGGUAGGGAGCUGAGAUAAAUGGCUGCACAAACAGAAUCCGGCUUAUCAGAGACCACUGGC
RNAcentral lists this RNase P RNA (371 nucleotides) under Persephonella atlantica. Its description in RNAcentral is "RNase P RNA component class A". It matches the Rfam family "Bacterial RNase P class A". Rfam says of the family: Ribonuclease P (RNase P) is a ubiquitous endoribonuclease, found in archaea, bacteria and eukarya as well as chloroplasts and mitochondria. The record is from RNAcentral. Lineage: Bacteria; Pseudomonadati; Aquificota; Aquificia; Aquificales; Hydrogenothermaceae.